Molecule: ribosomal RNA, 717 nt
Filed under: uncultured Comamonadaceae bacterium
Lineage: Bacteria; Pseudomonadati; Pseudomonadota; Betaproteobacteria; Burkholderiales; Comamonadaceae
Description: partial 16S ribosomal RNA
Rfam family: Bacterial small subunit ribosomal RNA
Source: RNAcentral
GAAAAUAAAGCGAUGAAGGGCUUUUUUUUUUUUGGUGUGGUUUAGUGGCGACGGGGGAAGUAAUUACGAGGGCAACCUCCCCCCUCCUCUUCGAGAUAAGCUUUAGAAACGGGUAAAUAUACAGAUGUCCCUCUCUGCUCACAGACCGGGCGGAGAAAGAUUUUCUCCCCCAAAAGGAUCUCCCCCCUAUCAACUUUUUGUGGGGUGGCCCCUCACAACGCGUCGACGUGUACCGCUGUGAGAGGGGUGUCGGCCACACUGGGACUGAGAUACGGCCAGACUUCUCCGGGAGGCCGCAGUGGUGGAUAUUGCACAAUGGGCGCAACCCUGAUGCAGCGACGCCGCGUGGGGGAUAGAGGCUUUCGUGUUGAAACCCUCUCCCGCGAGACAAAACUCCUUUUGGCGGUGUUGAGGGUACGCCUCAGAGAAGCCCGGCUAUCUACGUGCCGCACAGCCGCGGUAAUAUAUAGGGCGCGAGCGUUGUCCGGAAUUAUUGGGCGUAAAGAGCUCGUAGGCCGCUUGUCGUCUCUGCUGUGAAAAACGCGGGGCUCAACUCCGCGCGUGCAGUGUGUACGGGCAGGCUAGAGUGCGGCAGGGGUGGCUGGAAUUCCUGGUGUAGCGGUGGAAUGCGCAGAUAUCACAAAGAACAGAUAUGGAGAAGCCAGGCCACUGGGCCGUCACUGACGCUGAGGAGCGAAAGCGUGGGGAGCGCACAGG